ACUCCAGUCACUUUCCAGGCAAGACAGGGCUACCUUCAGCAUCUCUAGUGAAAGUGGUGAAUUAGCACUUCAGAAGUGAGAUGGCAUGGACAGAAGCUUCUGGGGCUGAGCUCACCAUUGGAAGCUUCUUUCCAGCUUCCUGAAGGUCUCUGGAGGUCUCUUCUUACCGGGGAGGAUGAUCCCUGGUGGCUCCCUGCUGACAUUCUUCAAAACUCGGCUAUUUCCCCAGUGUCCUGCUGAUAAAACAGAAGAGGAAAUGAUGAAACUGUUUGCAGUGGCCUGUAGUGAAGUGGCUCUUUCUGCCCUUGCUGUGCGUCUCACUCCAGGACCUCCUGAAGAGCGCUGAUCCUGCACUAUACAUGUGGUUCUUCUCCUAUGCCUCCCGACUUGUCAGAGAAUUUCUUGAGGACAUGGAUGACUGUCUGGCAGCGACAGUUCCAGGAUGCCAGUGUCUCUACAUCGUGACAACUUUGAAUGUGACCAUUGUAUCACCUACUAAGUCCGGCAGAACUAGAAAUUAUGGCUGAAGUUCCAGAAAGUUCCAGAAAGCACAUUUGGCCUUAUAAUAGAUAAUUACUAACUGCAAGAGCUGUGCAUUUACUAAAUGAUAUGCUCUGCCAAGGAGCGAGUUCCCCAUCACAGAGAGCAGCAGAAGCCAUCAUCAGGAAUGCUGCGUGUGGAUUUCUGAGUUGAGUAUGCGGUUAAAACACAAGACGCUAGGUUUAGUCCAAUCUUAAAAUUCUACGAUUUUAAUCUUUUAAAAAUAGUGUUUGCAUAGUAUUUUUAAGUUUUUGAUGAACCUCACAUACAUGAUCUCAUUGAUUCUUUUUUAAAAAAUGGAGGUCACUUUUUCUUGGCUUAAACAAAUGAAAAUAAAUAUAAACAAUAUAGACUUCUGAAGAAGGAUGGCAGAAUAAAGGCAAAAUAAAGACUCUCCUCCUCCAACAUCUAAAAUAUGAAUAAAAAUAAUAAAAAUCAGCAAAAAAAAAAAAACCCACAAAAAAACAGCAACAGCAAGAACACAAAGAAAUGGGAGCAACCUAACGUCAUAGACUUCAAAAAGGGGAGGACAAAGGAAGGAAGGAGAGAUUUUAGAAAAGUAGUUUCUCUGUGCUCACUUUGGAAGACUUGGAUUACCAAAAUAUUGAAAAAUUGAAUCAAAAGCUAUUAAUCUGAAAAGAAACAAAUUAGCAGGGCAUAUUGUUUUCCUUGAAUGCUUUAGGUUAUAGAACAGGUUAAUAACAAUAUGAAUUCAACAUAGUGGGUCCCAAAGAGGAAAUGAUGAAACAAGAGAAUGAUCUGGAAAAGUGAUUUUCUACUGUCCUAUAGAAACAAAUUAAAGACCAAAACAAUAUUAUUUUUUUUUAAUGAUACUUUAGUUCUAGGGUACAUGUGCACAAUGUGCAGGUUUGAUACAUAGGUAUACAUGUGCCACGUUGGUUUGCUGCACUCAUCAACUCGUCAUUUACAUUAGGUAUUUCUCCUAAUGUUAUCCCUUCCCCCGUCGCCCAACCCCACGACAGGCCCGGGUGUGUGAUGUUCCCCGCCCUGUGUCCAAGUGUUUUCAUUCAAAACGACAUUAUUAUAGAACUGAUAAAUAGAUAAAAAUCAUCAAAAAAAAAAAAGCUGAAUAGGCACAACUCAAAAUAAGCUUACAGACAGAAAAAAAUCCUUAAGAUAAAGAUAGAAAUUGCAUGUGAAAAGCACAAAGCAAUUUCAGCCUAGUUCUUAAGCCUGGUUGUAGACAAUCUGCAAAUAGGACAGACAAAAUAUUCAAAGCUAUAAAACAAAAAAAAUUGCUCUGACAAAUGCAGAAACGAAUCUGCAGAUUGAAAGAGCACACCAUGACCCAAGAAAAACAAAUACUAAAUGAUCAGCACUGAGACAUAUCCUCAUUAACUUAUCAAACUUCAAGGACUUUUUUAAAAAGUAUUUUGGCAUAGGACAUAAAAAGUAAAGGAAGCCAGUUAGGGUUGCCUUUGACACUAACAAUCAAUUUUGCAUGCCAAGCUAUAAUAAAGCACUACCUAGGAUUUCCAAGGGAAAGUGUGACUCAAGAGUAUUUCACCCAUCCAGAAUGAGUUUCAGUAUAAAAGUCACAGAUAAAUAUUCUGACCCACGACAGAACUCAGGGAACACACACUCAUGAGUCCUUCUUGAGAGGAAUUAUUCAGUGAUGAACAGUCAAUUUAGAGAUGAAUAGAAAUAAAAUAUUUGGAAAUAUAGAGUCUGGGAUAAAAAAGACUUCUUAGGAACACAUAAUUCAUUUGAGUAUGGAACUCAUGGUAUUAAACAAUUACGGGAUUAAUGUUUCCACAACAGAAUGUGAAUAUUAUAAGCAAAGAUAUUGUAAAAAUAAUAUUAGAGCCAAAAUUGGGAAGUGAGGGGUAGGGAGAUGGGAGGAAGUACAAGUCUAAAGAUUUACUCAUCUUUCCGAUGUGUGAGUCAUUCAAUAUUGUCUAAAACUGAAACAUGUUGCUAAAAAAAUAAUGACUCCAACAUUUUAACAUUUUUCAUAGUAUCUUUUCUUAACCUUAUUUCCCCAAGAGGGAAUAUUGAGCAAAUAGUAUCUCCUGUGGUAAAGAAUAUUUAAUGAAAGGGCAACAAAUUUUCAGUUUUAUGUUAGUUUUACUUUUCUAAUGUUCAAUUCAAGUAACAUUAAAUCCAUUAGUUUUUUGAAGAAUGUGUAUAAUAUGAUCAUCUUUAUGUAAAAAUAUUUUUGCCUGUCUAUGUCUGUUUCUCUUUCAAUCUCUCUUUAGCAUAUGACAUGGCUUGACUCUGUGUCCCCACUCAAAUCUCACCUUGAAUUUUAAAAUCUCCAUAUGUCAAGGGAGGUACCAGGUGGAGAUAAUUGAAUCAUGGGGAGAAUUUCCCCCAUGCUGUUCUCAUGAUAGCGAGUGAGUUCUCAAAAUAUCUGAUGGUUUUAUCAGGGGCUUCCCCCUUCACUUGACACGCAUUCUCUCUCCUGCCGCCCUGUGAAGAGGUGCCUUCUGCCAUGAUUGUAAGUUUCUUGAGGCCUCCCUAGCCAUGUGGAACUGUGAGUUAAUUAAACCUCUUUUCUUUAUAAAUUACCCAGUCUUGGGUAUUUCUUCAUAGCAGGGUGAGAAUGGACUAAUGCGGCAUACAUUUCUCUUUCCUCUCCUCUCCUUUCCAAAUAGUAACUGGAUUUUCAUUCAGAUUUCCAUCUCUCUGCCAGGCAACCUAAGUACUUCAGGGGACUGUGAACCCAGCUCCAGGGCCAGGGUGGAAUGAUUGGGCUAAGGAUAAUUCCUUAUCCCAGGGAACUCAGGUCAAAACCAACCAGGGUGUGGCAUAUUCCUGCAGUAGAAUCUGGAAUGGGCUUGUGACCCAGCUCAGGCCAGUGAAACAUGAAGGAAGGCUUGGCGGAGAAUUCUGAAGAAGGAGCUUCUCAGCUUUUAAGAGAAGCUCACCAUAGGAAACUCCCUCUCUCCCUCUGGACUUGUUGGUUUAAAGACGCAAAACCUGGAGCUGCUACAGACAUUUUUCACCACUGCAAGUGAAGACUUCUGCCCCAUAGACAGCGACUGGAAGCUGGAUCAGGCCAACCCUGAAGAUCACUCUGUCUCUGGAUGUCGGUUACACAAAUCAAUACAUUUCCAUGUGUUAAAGCAAUUCGACUUGGAUUUUACAUAUAUUUUUGAAACUGAAAACAUUGUAAUCUAUAUAUCUACUUAGAAAGAUGUGAAAUAUCCACCUAAUAAUAAUCAUUUGGGGUUACUAAUAAAAAUUAUUUUUACUUUUCUUCAUUGCUUACUUUAUAAUGAGCUGUUUCAUUUUUUAAAACACAAAAAGUUAUUAUUCUUGCAUAUUAAAUUGUUAAACAUAAAAGUAAUAUGUACUCAUUGGAAAAAAAUCCAGACACCUUCUCUUCCAGGUGACCUAAAUAGAAUUAGGGAGAGAGAAAAAUAAUGAUCUCUGAUCAGAAAAUAUAAUAAAAAUGAUUUUAGAAAGAGUCAACAUAUUUACUCUGCUUAGAAGUUUACACAUAUAAUCUCAUUUAAUUUUCACAACAUAUUAUGCAGUAGGAAGCAUCAUUAGCUCCAUUUUAUAGACAAAAAAAAUCUCUUGCAUUCUGCAAUUGUCUAAAAUUACUUUGAAAAGAGACAGUUUUUAAUAGCAUAGUUAAAGAUAAAAGAUUUAUAACAUACACAUGAUAGAGAAAAUUAAUAUAGUCAUGCAUUACUUCAUGAUGGAAAUAUGUUCUGAGAAAUGUGUUGUUAUAUGAUUUUGUUGCUGUGUAAACAUCACAGAGUGAACCCACACAUCCUCGAAGGUAUAGCCUAAUGCUCUUAGGUUACAAAGCUGUACAGCAUGUAACUCUACUGAAUACUGUGGUCAUUAUAACAAAUUGGUAUCUGUGUAUCUAAACAUUAAAAAGGUACACUACAAAGAGACUUAGACUCCCACACAAUAAUAAUGGGAGACUUUAACACCCCACUGUCAACAUUAGACAGAUCAACGAAACAGAAAGUUAACAAGGAUACCCAGGAAUUGAACUCAGCUCUGCACCAAGCAGAUCUAAUAGACAUCUACAGAACUCUCCACCCCAAAUCAACAGAAUAUACAUUUUUCUCAGCACCACACCACACCUGUUCCAAAAUUGACCACAUAGUUGGAAGUAAAGCUCUCCUCGGCAAAUGUAAAAGAUCAGACAUUAUAACAAACUGUCUCUCAGACCACGGUGCAAUCAAACUAGAACUCAG
RNAcentral lists this long non-coding RNA (4724 nucleotides) under Homo sapiens (human). RNAcentral's name for it is "HSALNT0319651". Lineage: Eukaryota; Metazoa; Chordata; Mammalia; Primates; Hominidae. The record is from RNAcentral.